This is a non-coding RNA of Ciona intestinalis (vase tunicate), 1105 nucleotides long. Lineage: Eukaryota; Metazoa; Chordata; Ascidiacea; Phlebobranchia; Cionidae. The record is from RefSeq and is a predicted model, not a curated record.
UAUCUUUAUUUCAUUACAUAUUUCCGAGUGCGAAAUCAACUCUCUUAACUAACUUACAGAGCUCUUCCUCUACCAUUACAUUUAUCGUUCUUACUGCCAAACAUGCAGGUCUUCUCAUCAGAAAGGGCGCAGAAACUUUUGCAGCGUAACUAGUGCGCGAGGCAUUGCGACCGUUCAGUCCAAACGCCAAAGUCGAAAUUGAUGGUUUAUUGAUUAUUAAAUCCGGCCAGUGGCGGUUAGCGCGUCUGUUGCCUGUAACCAGGACGUUGCGGGUAUAAGGUUCAUCGUUGCACCCAAUGGGGGGCAUAUGUGCUCUUGAAAAGGACACUUAAUAGGAAUUGCCCCAACUAAGUGUUCCUUAUGGCUUGUCGAUACCAUCAUUAAUACAUACCAAAAAAUCUCCCAAAAAUAGUCAAGAGCGGCAUAGAGGCGUGUUAAACAGAACGCCCAUAGGUUAUCCGACUAUCGUUGUUCUACCACUUAGAAAUCAAUAAGUAGUUGCAAAUCUGCAUUUACUACCCCGUGGGUCGGUGGGUGUUAAAAAAGCGUAGCCUAUUACUGAGUUGGUAAGCACGCUAAACACUAUACUAUAUUUCAUACAAAGUAUUGUAUUUCAGUAGCGCCAAUACAAAGUCAUUACAAAAACACACAUGGUAGGUUUAAAAAGUUAUAUAGCAACAUACGACACAACACAAUCGGCGAUUAACGCCGCUUUCAGGAGCCACCAAAAUGAAUUGAUUGCCAGCACAAAGUGGCAAAACGGUUAAUCGAGCUGACUAUAUGGUAAAACUUCUGUACAAGUUGGGCGUGACGGGCCGCUGUGGCCACGCACGCUAAUACUGCUCCUAUUGCGUAAUGAUGCUGGAAAGCGUUGCUGUUAGUGAUUGUGGAUGUUAUAUGGCGAAAGUGAAAUCCGGUAUGCGACGGUUAUUAGUAAAGUGAUAGUUAGGCCUACAGCGUUACGAUAACACUAUUAAAUAAUCGGCGACGAAAGGAAUUUGCAUAAACUAUGGGUUUUUAGCGCGUUUUUCAGCGAGUUCGGUGUCAAAGUUGUUGUUUGGGGGGCACUUAAGCUGUGACAGACCUUUGCCCAUGCAUGCGUGUC